This 240-nucleotide ribosomal RNA is filed under the name uncultured bacterium. RNAcentral describes it as "partial 16S ribosomal RNA". It matches the Rfam family "Bacterial small subunit ribosomal RNA", at positions 94 to 334 of the family's 1533-position model. The record is from RNAcentral.
AGUGGCGGACGGGUGAGUAACGCGUGGGUAACCUGCCUCAUACAGGGGGAUAACAGUUAGAAAUGACUGCUAAUACCGCAUAAGCGCACAGUACCGCAUGGUACGGUGUGAAAAACUCCGGUGGUAUGAGAUGGACCCGCGUCUGAUUAGGUAGUUGGUGGGGUAACGGCCUACCAAGCCGACGAUCAGUAGCCGACCUGAGAGGGUGACCGGCCACAUUGGGACUGAGGCACGGCCCAA